UGGGGAAUAUUGCACAAUGGGGGAAACCCUGAUGCAGCGACGCCGCGUGAACGAAGAAGGUAUUCGUAUCGUAAAGUUCUGUCCUAUGGGAAGAUAAUGACAGUACCAUAGAAGAAGCUCCGGCUAAAUACGUGCCAGCAGCCGCGGUAAUACGUAUGGAGCGAGCGUUGUCCGGAAUUAUUGGGCGUAAAGGGUACGCAGGCGGUUUAAUAAGUCGAAUGUUAAAGAUCGGGGCUCAACCCCGCAAAGCAUUGGAAACUGAUAAACUUGAGUAGUGGAGAGGAAAGUGGAAUUCCUAGUGUAGUGGUGAAAUACGUAGAUAUUAGGAGGAAUACCAGUAGCGAAGGCGACUUUCUGGACACAAACUGACGCUGAGGUACGAAAGCGUGGGGAGCAAACAGG
RNAcentral lists this ribosomal RNA (402 nucleotides) under bacterium. RNAcentral's name for it is "partial 16S ribosomal RNA". It matches the Rfam family "Bacterial small subunit ribosomal RNA", at positions 355 to 776 of the family's 1533-position model. The record is from RNAcentral.